RNAcentral lists this ribosomal RNA (664 nucleotides) under Streptomyces sp. 3SH4_09. RNAcentral describes it as "bacterial SSU rRNA". It matches the Rfam family "Bacterial small subunit ribosomal RNA", at positions 86 to 763 of the family's 1533-position model. Lineage: Bacteria; Bacillati; Actinomycetota; Actinomycetes; Kitasatosporales; Streptomycetaceae. The record is from RNAcentral.
GGUGGAUUAGUGGCGAACGGGUGAGUAACACGUGGGCAAUCUGCCCUGCACUCUGGGACAAGCCCUGGAAACGGGGUCUAAUACCGGAUAUGACCACCGGCCGCAUGGUCUGGUGGUGGAAAGCUCCGGCGGUGCAGGAUGAGCCCGCGGCCUAUCAGCUUGUUGGUGGGGUGAUGGCCUACCAAGGCGACGACGGGUAGCCGGCCUGAGAGGGCGACCGGCCACACUGGGACUGAGACACGGCCCAGACUCCUACGGGAGGCAGCAGUGGGGAAUAUUGCACAAUGGGCGCAAGCCUGAUGCAGCGACGCCGCGUGAGGGAUGACGGCCUUCGGGUUGUAAACCUCUUUCAGCAGGGAAGAAGCGCAAGUGACGGUACCUGCAGAAGAAGCACCGGCUAACUACGUGCCAGCAGCCGCGGUAAUACGUAGGGUGCGAGCGUUGUCCGGAAUUAUUGGGCGUAAAGAGCUCGUAGGCGGCCUGUCGCGUCGGAUGUGAAAGCCCGGGGCUUAACCCCGGGUCUGCAUUCGAUACGGGCAGGCUAGAGUUCGGUAGGGGAGAUCGGAAUUCCUGGUGUAGCGGUGAAAUGCGCAGAUAUCAGGAGGAACACCGGUGGCGAAGGCGGAUCUCUGGGCCGAUACUGACGCUGAGGAGCGAAAGCGUG